AGGACGAACGCUGGCGGCGUGCUUAACACAUGCAAGUGGAGCGACGAACCAGGGCUUGCCCUGGGGCAGAGCCGCGAACGGGUGAGUAACACGUGGGUUACCUGCCUCGAUGACCGGGACAACCCGAGGAAACUCGGGCUAAUACCGGAUGUGCCCGCAAGGGGAAAGGAAGCUUCGGCCUCCGCAUCGAGAUGGGCCCGCGGCCCAUUAGCUUGUUGGUGAGGUAACGGCUCACCAAGGCUUCGAUGGGUAGCUGGUCUGAGAGGACGAUCAGCCACACUGGGACUGAGACACGGCCCAGACUCCUACGGGAGGCAGCAGUGGGGAAUCUUGCGCAAUGCGCGAAAGCGUGACGCAGCAACGCCGCGUGGGGGAAGAAGGCCCUCGGGUUGUAAACCCCUUUCAGUUGGGACGAAGCUUCGUCGGUUAAUAGCCGACUGGAGUGACGGUACCUUCACAAGAAGCACCGGCUAACUACGCGCCAGCAGCCGCGGU
Molecule: ribosomal RNA, 495 nt
Filed under: uncultured bacterium
Lineage: Bacteria
Description: SSU rRNA
Rfam family: Bacterial small subunit ribosomal RNA
Source: RNAcentral